GCCUGAAACUGCUGAGGCCAGCUUGGAAUUUCCUCCUGUGGGGUUAGCUCUAUAAAAAGAAAAGAUGCACCAAACAGCUGGAGAAGGUGAGGGAGAGGAGACAGCAGCGCUUCAGCCUGAGAGCUUUGUUGCUUCCCGCCAGGGUAACACAAUGGUUCCUCGUUUUCCUUCUUAUCAAUGCCUUGACGAUCUUUUCUACUGUUUUGUUCCACCAAUCACCAGGGGGUGUACUAUCCUAAUGAAAAGCAUGAACCUCGGAUAUUUCAUUCUGGGGAUCUGCUUCCAUGGGUAGAGCCCACCUUACAGCUGUGAGACUUAAGACCCCUGGGAAACAAACAAAGGAUCCACUGACCCAUCUCCUGCUCUCGCUGCUCCUCCCUGUGUGUGUGUUUCUGACAUUGGACUGGGGAGAAAGAAGAGGUUAGACUAUCCUUGCCCCCUAGCAGAGUGCUUGGGCAUUGGGUAGGCCAGUUCCAACAGGCAUUAGCUUUGCCCCAUCAAUCCCUGCAGUCAGAGCAAGAGACUGCACCUUACAACCAGCAGCGACUCCAGACUUCUACACAUUCUGUAAGAAACGGGAACUGCGAGGGGCUCGCUCAGAGGCUCCCUCCUGUGACCAAAUCCAGCAGUUCCGCUCGCUCUUCCACUGCAGAAAUGCCUCAACUUUAACAGCAAAGAGAACUCGGGGUCCUUUCUGGAGCAUGGUUUUCUCCACUCUACGUUUCUCUGUGUUCCAGAUCCUGGGAGGAGUUCAAGGAUGGCCCUAGCAGGGCUCUUUAGAAAGUGUUAUGAAUGCAUACGGCUCUGCCACAGCACACGCCCGGCAAGCAGCAGGGAGAAGGGAAGGGAAGGUCAGUGGUGCAGGAUCAUCGUCAUCGGUCGUCUAUCUGAUCUCCAGCUGGAGUGGUACAUUGUGCACGGAGCGGAAGAGGCGCUUCGGCCCGCUGCCCCUCUGCUCAGUGUUUCAUGGUUGGGAGGCGCCAAAUAACUCCCGUAAAACCACCGUCCCGGGCACGCUCUGUCUCGUGCUUCCGACGGGAUGGAUCUUUUGGCAUUUCUGUACCGUGUCUAAUGAGCUUCCUUUCCAGGCAGAAAUAAACGGUU
Molecule: long non-coding RNA, 1104 nt
Organism: Emys orbicularis (European pond turtle)
Lineage: Eukaryota; Metazoa; Chordata; Testudines; Emydidae
Exons: 3
Source: RefSeq, a predicted model, not a curated record